Molecule: long non-coding RNA, 385 nt
Organism: Xenopus tropicalis (tropical clawed frog)
Lineage: Eukaryota; Metazoa; Chordata; Amphibia; Anura; Pipidae
Exons: 3
Source: RefSeq, a predicted model, not a curated record
GGCUCAACUUGUCUGUUCUACAACCAGCUCCCUGCUCUAUAGGUGACUUCACAGCUGGGAAAAUAAAUCUGGCAACCCUGCUCUUCUGGUCGGGACAGGUGCAAAUGUUGUGGAGCGGCAGACUGGGCUGUGACUGCAGGUGAGGCGCCUCCUGGUGUCAGAAAAAGCAAAUACACUUUCCCAUCUUAGUAUUUCCAUCUAUAAAUAUCUCUCCGCCUGUGCCGCCGCCGCAUCGCCUGGUUAAGAUCCAUCGAUUGUCCAACUGCCCGACAGGUAAACAAGCUCCAUAAAUAAUUUGUCUGAUAAACGGACACAGACACCUUGCUAUAAAUACCCGGGGCACUGUUACUGUCUGAAAAGCAAAUUAAAGGGAUGUUGCUAUGUC